Saimiri boliviensis boliviensis (Bolivian squirrel monkey) is the source of this 173-nucleotide small nuclear RNA. Its record names the gene U2. It matches the Rfam family "U2 spliceosomal RNA". Rfam says of the family: U2 is a small nuclear RNA (snRNA) component of the spliceosome (involved in pre-mRNA splicing). Lineage: Eukaryota; Metazoa; Chordata; Mammalia; Primates; Cebidae. The record is from Ensembl.
AGCCAUGUUACAGCCUUUUGGCUAAGAUCAAUUGUAGUAUCUGUUCUUAUCAGUUUAAUAUCUGAUACGUCCUGUAUCCAAAAUAAAAACUGAUUCUCUCAUGUCCCAUCACAACCUAUCAUGUAUCAAAUUACCUUUUGACUUACAGCUAGGUGAAUCAGUGGUUUCUAAUA